RNAcentral lists this unclassified non-coding RNA (647 nucleotides) under Hevea brasiliensis (rubber tree). The record is from RNAcentral. Lineage: Eukaryota; Viridiplantae; Streptophyta; Magnoliopsida; Malpighiales; Euphorbiaceae.
AAAAAAAAAAAAAUAAUUAAAAAAUUAAAAAAAAAAAACAGAAUUACCAUUUUUAAGGCAACAAACCAGGCAUUACACAGUACAAAGCUACCUGCACUCCCAGUUUGAAGCAGCUAUAAUGAUCAUGCAGAUACAAACAUUAAGAAAAUAGUAAUGUAAAUGAAUGACAUAUAAGAGAACAUAUAUUUCGAGGUUAUUUACGUGAACAGACAACUCUUCUCCCUCUUUUCUGGCCAUUAGUUAAUACCUAAACUCACAUAAUGUAAUUUUACACAAAAUCCAAAACUUACCCAAGUCCACCAAAUGAACAAAAUAGGAUUUGCACUUCCGGGUUCAAUGAGUCCAAAAUUUAUCUAGGACCUAAUUACAUCAUUAAACUUCACUAGAAUAACCUAGGUAUAUUCCAUGAGAUCAAUAAACAAAUAGUAAAUAGGAGUCUAUAGAAAAUGAAACAUAUCAGGCUUUACUUCGCGUGUUACAGCCUCAAGCGUACACACUUGAAUGCAAUUCAAGAAAUACCCAUUUAUAUUUGUAUCAAUACAUGAAGCACACAUUGAAAGGCACAAAAUGUAGGCCCAUAUAUAGGUACACUAUCAAAAGUUAAAUUAUAUACAUAACAAACAUACUUGUUUAUAAUUGUUGCAAAA